This 778-nucleotide long non-coding RNA is filed under the name Homo sapiens (human). RNAcentral's name for it is "long non-coding RNA NONHSAT213448.1". The record is from RNAcentral. Lineage: Eukaryota; Metazoa; Chordata; Mammalia; Primates; Hominidae.
GCGGCCGGCAGAUGGCGAAGGAGGGGCGCGAGGAGGCGGCCACUGUUGAGGGGCGGGGCGUCCCGCCGAGAGUCUGGGUGCGAUGAGGUCCGGGGAAUGAGGUGAUUCGCCCAAAAGCACACUACAAAUUGGAGUCACCAGCAGGUCUGCUAUUUUGCCACUAAACCAAUCUGCCGGUCACACCUUGGCUGUAAAGUGUCCUAACAGCCACCUACUUAUGAUUACUGCUUUCUUACCAAUAACCUCCCCAGCCUGUUGUGUGGCUCCUACAUCUUGAACAAAAGCGACCAAGGCAUACAUCUGUAGGAGACCAGAAUAUGCCACCCCAAAAUAUGCCUCCUUGGCCUAAGGAUUAUUCUGAGCUAGUAAUUUUGAGAAACAGAAGCUAUGAAAACAGCAUAAGCUACCCCUUUGAAAGAGAAAUUCACCCCGGCCACCACCCCGUCUGGGAAGUGAGGAGCGUCUCUGCCCAGCCGCCCCGUCUGAGAAGUGAGGAGCCCCUCCGCCCGGCAGCCGCCCCGUCUGGGAAACCUCGCACUGGAUGGAUCAGCUGGCACCACCCAGAUCGAUAAACUGGCUCAUCAGAUCUUGUGGCCCCCACCCAGGAACUGACUCAAGCACAAGACAGCUUCAAUUCCCUAUGAUUUCAUCUCUGACCCGAUCAAUCAGCACUCCUGACUCACUGGAUGCCACCCACCCUCCAAAUUAUCCUUAAAAACUGUGACCUCCAAAUGCUUGGGGAGACUCAUUUGAGUAAUAAAAAAAGUCCCAGUUUCCC